CCUGGCUGGUUCCUUGCACGCAGCGGGCCCUGAAUUGGCCGCGGGCGUCUCUGGGUUUGGGCAGCGUCUGCUUCGCCCAGGGCCCACCAGUAGGCCCGGAGCCUUUCGGACGCCCAACCCGGGGGAUCUGCGGCUGAGGGCCCCGGGCCGUUCCUCGCUCUGCGUUCCGGUGCGGUUUCUUUCGUAGAAGCUUUGUCGCUUUGUGUACGUCCGUCAGAAAUAGGUUCGGUGCAGUUUAACCCGAGGAGUGCUGAAAAGGCCGUUGCCCGCGUUCAGACAGGCUUUUCUUCUGUAGAGCCUUUUCAUAAGCUGCUGUUCACCUGGGGAAGUGGGGGCGGUCCUUGCCUAGGAGGCUGUUUUGCUCUUUAAUUGCGCUGCGUGGCCUCAAAAUCUUUCUAGAUGAAUAGAUUCUUCAGUCACUUUUCCUUCAGAAAUGUAUUUCUGGGCUGUAGGCCAGCUCUGGUGAUUCUGAAGAACCCACCUUCCCCUUGUGUGCUAUGUGGCCUUGUUGCUUUGUGCCUUGUUUUGUUCUGGAAAUGCUACUAGAGAUAACAGUUGUGAAAUACAACUGUAAAGCAAUUUUAGUUGCAGCUGUGGAUUGAAAGACAAACACUCUGUAGAGAAUGAGUUUAGUUCUAGCACUUCUGAUGGCGGUUCAUAUGUAGUCAGAAAUCUGACAUAAAGUUCAAGAAAGCACAGCAACAUUUUGGUUGAUUCUAUUGGUUGAAGGUUUCAGCUGUGAUUCUUAUUUUUGUGUAAAUAAGCUUGAGGUGGUGAGAAACUCCAGGUGUACUCAGGUGAACUGGAAAGCAGCUCUGAGUCAUGAAUUUAGUGGCAGAAGCUUUCUGUAAUUCUGACAUUCUUCUCAAGGAUGCGGGCGUUUUGUGAACAAAACCAGGUCCCAGGAGUUGCAGCUGUGGCUGUAACAUGCCAGAGGCCUGUGGUGUCAUAAAAUGGACACACAAAGAUCUUUAUUUUUUAAAAUGUGUCAGCAUGAAAGUGGAAUAGCUAAUAAGUAAGCAAAUGUUGAUAAAAACUUGCUAAGAAAACUGUUGUAAUUGAUCAAAAGAAAUUCAGUUUCUGGUUUGUUGUCAGAGGUAGUCCUGGAAUAUUCUUCUAGCAGUUGUGACCUGUGGCUAAUAAAUUUCAUGAGCUGGAGCCUCUCUUGGUGGUUUUUUUUUUGUGUGACUCUAUCCAGAUGAUUUAUGGAGUUGGGCAAGGUCACAGUAUUCAUGGUAUUUGACUGAAGGGUGAGUAUUAGUGUAUCCAGGUGCUGUCAGAAGUAGAAACUUUUGUGUGCUUAAACUCUCUACUUCAUAAUUUAGUUUGAUUGCUAUUAAGACUUACUGCAGAAUGUGAAGAUAAUAAAGUUUCUGUGAUAGGGGAAACCAAGUUUUGUAGCUUCUGUGUCUGUUUUGUAAAGUGAGUGGUUUGUACCUCCUGUCAUCCUUUCCUGUACCUCGUGUCAUUCUCCUUUGUUGUUUAUGAUAAGUAGAGGCCUGCACUAUCCACAGUAUUCAGCAUGUCCCUGCUUGAGCAGGUUUGGCCAGAUGACCCCCAGAGGUUCCUUCUAACCUAAACCGUUUUGUGAUUCUCUGAUGUAGGAUGAAUAUAGAUUAAUUGAAGUAUAUAUUUUUGCCUCCUAUGUUCUUUAUUACUUGUCAGAUAUUUCCAAACAUUCCAUCUGGCUUUUGAGCAGUGAUCUGAUCACUCCAGUCACUCCAGAAUGUGGAGACAAAGCAGCGAGAGUCGGCAGAAGAGAGGAAAUAUGGCAACAGGUGAACCUCAAAUAACUAAAUAUUAGUGCAUGCUAAUCCAGAGCACAGUGUUUGGAGUCACUAUGGCAUACAACCAAGAGCAUUUGUGGCUGUCCAAUGAGAACCUGAUUGUGAAGCUUCAGGCUUGCUGUUGAGGCUGUCUUGUUUGUCAGGAAUUUGUCUCCAGAGUGAGUUUUUUGAAGAAGGAAGUUCCAGCAGUCAGGCACAUCCAGGAUGUCAUUUCUCACAGCAAAAAGCUUUCUAAGGAGAACAAGAAGCAGCUCUGACAUGAUGACGCUGAACAAGCAAAAGGGAGACUUGAAAGCUUUGAGCAAAGAGAAGGGGGGGGGAAGAAAGCUGGAAGCCUGUCAACAUCUUUUCUACUUCCUUCAGACUAGCCCAGGAUAGUUAGCAAGCUGAAUUUUUCAGAUGCCUAAAAGCAAAUGCACAAAGCUCAUGGAUUUGGUCAUCUUCAUGCUGUGUAACUGUGUGUCCAGACGAAGAGAGGAAUAUCUGCUGUGUCAGCUUUCCCAAACAGCGCUCCUGGAGGAGAUCAGAUCUGAGCUGUGCUCUGGAACAGAAUGUACAGCUGGAUCUAGAACAGUUGCCAAAGAGGAGUCUGUGGACAAACGGUGCUGCAUUUCCCAGAGGGAGGUCAUCGAGUUCCUUGCCUUCUCGCAAAGUGUUCUUGUAUUUUUCUUAAAUAGCAUUGCAUGUUACUGCUGUACCAAGACUUUUAUGACAACUCCAUUAUCUGUAUCCCAAAGAUGAUGCUGAGAAACAUGUCUCAUGCAUACCUCACGUUUUGUAUUAAUUCUUCCUUUGGGUCAAAAGCAGACCAAAUCCUUGAAAUGAGGCUGAAAUAAAACUGAAUAACUGUCUCACUGUUAUUAAAAUAGUUUGGCUGUGGUUCCUGUGGUCAGAAUGCCCUGUGGCAGCUCCUGGCACCACUUGUGAAUGAAAGAAUUGAUGACAAAUUGCUUGAUAUCACGACCGAUCUGGUGGAUAUUUACAAGCCUUGGGGGAUCCAGACAGGAUCUCAGAGUGAUGAGGCCAGGUCUGGAAGCUGCUACUACAGUGUUUCUUCUAAGAGUUGCUCGGCUCUUUUUGCAUUGCUCUUGUGAGAGGUAGAUUGUGGUUUUGUAGUAGAAGCUUCCAGUAUUUUCUGUAUGUAGUAUAGGUCUACACUGAACUUACAACCCUUUUGUGAAAUAGCAGUUUUCCUUCCGCUAAGUAAGUUGCUAAACAGAGUAAAAAGUUAAGAUUUGGGGCAUUCUGAUGGGGGUAGAACUGAGCCAGGCACAAAAUAAGGCAAAUAUGCAGGGUGGAGAGAGCAGGACAGAACAAACGUGCUCAUUCUUGGAAUUGUUGCCCUCCAUGGAAGAGUACAAAACAUACCCAAGAAACAACAGGUUGGUAAUGGACCUUAUGUGGAAAUGAGUCACAGCAGCAGCGUUGGAGAGCUUGUGAACCUGAGAUGCGAGCGCCAGGAGAGCAUUGCCUGCGUUGGGUUCAAGUGUAUAGAACAGAAUGAAUUUUGAAGACUGGUGUGCAAUUACUCCCUUGCUAACGGGGGUGUGCGCCCGUUACUGCAAUAAUAAAUGAACUUUGUUACUAUCAGUAAGAUCCUUGUCUAACCUGAAAUUUUUGACUUGCAGUGUUUCUCACAAACGUGUAACCGAAAUCAGAUUUGGUUAAUUGUUCCAAGCCAUCCUGGGCUUGGCUGCACACAUCUGUCUGAUUGAUACCAGUUUUUUUUUUUUUUAUUGCCUCAGGCUCUGGCUGGAAAAAAGCCGAAUAAUAAAAAGCAUGACAACAUCAA
This is a long non-coding RNA of Centrocercus urophasianus (Greater sage-grouse), 3579 nucleotides long. RefSeq lists it as uncharacterized. The transcript has 5 exons. The record is from RefSeq and is a predicted model, not a curated record. NCBI's taxonomy places the organism in Eukaryota, Metazoa, Chordata, Aves, Galliformes, Phasianidae.